RNAcentral lists this transfer RNA (69 nucleotides) under Bos taurus (domestic cattle). It matches the Rfam family "tRNA". Rfam says of the family: Transfer RNA (tRNA) molecules are approximately 80 nucleotides in length. The record is from Rfam by way of RNAcentral. Lineage: Eukaryota; Metazoa; Chordata; Mammalia; Artiodactyla; Bovidae. RNAcentral also lists the same sequence under 3 other names.
CCUGGUGGCUCAGACGGUAAGGCAUCUGCCUGUAAUGCAGGAGACCUGGGUUCAAUCCCUGGGUCAGGA